UACGUAGGGUGCGAGCGUUAAUCGGAAUUACUGGGCGUAAAGCGUGCGCAGGCGGUUUUGUAAGCCGGAUGUGAAAUCCCCGGGCUUAACCUGGGAAUGGCAUUCGGGACUGCAAGGCUGGAGUGCGGCAGAGGAGACUGGAAUUCCUGGUGUAGCAGUGAAAUGCGUAGAUAUCAGGAGGAACACCGGUGGCGAAGGCGGCGACCUGGGUAGAUACUGACGCUGAGGCGCGAAAGCGUGGGGAGCAAACAGG
Molecule: ribosomal RNA, 253 nt
Filed under: uncultured bacterium
Lineage: Bacteria
Description: partial 16S ribosomal RNA
Rfam family: Bacterial small subunit ribosomal RNA
Source: RNAcentral